GCUGGGGGACCUGGCAUGCCUGGGCCCUAAUAACCACCCCGGCGAUCAGACCAGCAUCUUGCGUCGACAUAGUGGAGCAGAGUUUGCUAUCCCUGGUGGGAGAGUCCGUGGCAAUGAAUACUAGUCAUCAGGAUCACCCAUAAGAACGCGAUGAUGUUGCUGGGCCAGAACGGGUUCAGGUGGGGCUUGCUUGGUGGGUUUUGGUUUUUAGCUGCUUGUCGCUAAGAGAUAGGCCGACGUACAUACAUAAUACACACACAGGUUGCUGGGUCUGCUCUCUGAUGAAGAAGAAUAUGAAUAGCACAUACAAAACGGAGCUGAAUAAGGUGGAAUGAUGGUUGGACUGGAGAAUUGAAAGGGAGAUGUUUCUUCUUUUUCUUCUUCUUCUACUUCUUUUAAAGGAAAACAUAUAAUAAGAGCAUAUAAAGAAGAUAAAAACGUCUGUGCCUUGAAUCCUGGGAGGUUCCUUUCUCAACACGAGAUACUGGUACUUAUUCCAAUAGGCUGAGUGUCCUGUGUACUGUACAUGAUGCUGGACAGAGUUCCAAAAACCAAGUUUCCAUUCCUGCAGCUGUGACGGGGAAACAAUCGUUGAGAGAGAAGAAAGAAUGAUGACUGUAAAGGACACUGACAUUUAAUUAAUCAUUCCCUACCCAUGGACCCGGCAUUAUUUUUGCUAUUCUUGUUAUCCCUUACUCGAUCCGCAGAGAAUUCUUUCAUCUGACGGGGAUCGACAAUCAAGAGAAAUGAUGACAAUGAAGGAGAUUUUUCUUUUUUCUUUUUAUUUUUGCUUUUGCUUUUUGCUUUUUCCUCGUUUGGGCCCUCGUUUCUUUUUUCCGUUGAGUGGCGAAGAUAAGACAAGCGCGGAAAAAAAGAAAAUACACAAAAAGGACACAAAAACAAAAACAAAAACUAGAGCUUUCAUGGACGACAUCUAAACUUAAUCCGACCUUCUUAACGAUUGUUGUUUGGCUGACCAGUACGGGGAGUAGAUGAUUUAUUCGUUAACUAACUAC
This 1016-nucleotide small RNA is filed under the name Histoplasma capsulatum var. duboisii H88. RNAcentral describes it as "Histoplasma capsulatum H88 hypothetical RNA". Lineage: Eukaryota; Fungi; Ascomycota; Eurotiomycetes; Onygenales; Ajellomycetaceae. The record is from RNAcentral.